Long non-coding RNA from Acanthochromis polyacanthus (spiny chromis), 1019 nucleotides. RefSeq lists it as uncharacterized. The record is from RefSeq and is a predicted model, not a curated record. The transcript has 2 exons. NCBI's taxonomy places the organism in Eukaryota, Metazoa, Chordata, Actinopteri, Pomacentridae.
GACGAGUGACGGCUCUUUACAGUGGAAGAAUAAAGAAUUGAUGCUGCAUGCAGGGGGAGGCUGCUGGGCACCAGGGGACAGGAGAAAGGUUCCUUAUGAAAUAUUGACGGAGACUGGAGAUGGGGCCAGAGUAUGUCUGCCCUUCCUCCUCAACUCUUCCACCAGCCAACAAUGUGCGUGCUCUGGGGGGGAACUCACAUUCCUGCCAGCUAAGAAGGAGACAUUUUGGGGGAUGCCACUAUGUCGGGUUGCCCUUCCUCUUCCAUGAAAAAGGUAAAUUUCACCACUGAUUUAAAACACAUGGAAGCCAUCAACACGGAGUGGAAGCUUAUGGAGAGUGAAAGCAGACCCCCGCACGCUAGUACGGUGUAAAAACGCAUCAAACUUUCGGUCGAUGGAAGAUUCACGUUGCACAAAUAACAAAUGUGUUUUCUGAGUGGGUGUGAAUGUGUGCGUCACUUGUAUUUGAAGUGUGUUUGAUGUGUGUGAGCUCCUGUUAUUCUCUCUUUGACAGCUAAAUCAUCCCCUCCUCCCUUCCCUGUACGUAACCUCAGAAGAUGAUUAGUUCAUAUUUUCCCCCCGAUUGUAUGGACCGGUCCCUGGUGACGGCGUUGUAAUGUGUUUUAUAGAUAUGCUACAAGUCACCCCGUAAAUAGGUCAGCUGUCUGAAGUGUGAUGUGUCAUGUGCUCUUUUCCAGCUCUGAAAUGUCUUCUCUAAUGAGCCCUAGUGAUUUUGGAGAGGAAAACACCACAACCCUUUUUCCAAUAAAGCCUCUCUCUGCCUCUCUGAGCCUCGCAUGACAGAAACAAAAGCUGUUUGUCCUUUUGGGGAUUGUGUGUGUGCGUGUGUGUGCAUGCGAGCAUUUGUGUGUGUGUGUGUGUGUGUGUGUGUGUGUGUGUGUGUACUGUAUGUGCACGUGUCUGUCUCUGCCAUUCCUUCCUUCCUUCAGUUUGUGUUCUUCUGUCAUGCUCUCUUACUCUUUUAUCUCUGCGUUGACGCAAUAAAAUCUUUCCUCAUG